This is a long non-coding RNA of Leptinotarsa decemlineata (Colorado potato beetle), 334 nucleotides long. The record is from RefSeq and is a predicted model, not a curated record. NCBI's taxonomy places the organism in Eukaryota, Metazoa, Arthropoda, Insecta, Coleoptera, Chrysomelidae.
CAAGACUUUUAUUUUGGCAAUACAUUUCCAAAAAAAUUCAGAACUUUACUCGUGCUCGGAAUCUAUUAGGGUAUUUGUUGGACAAUGAUUUAGACUUAUCUGAUAUGCCCAAAAACAUUUCAAUACCUGUGGAGGUAUUAAAUUCAAUGGAAACAAAGAAAGAAGUGAUUGAAUCUGAACCAUCUCAACCCUCGGAAUAUGAGAACAACCUGAACCAACAGUCACAACUAAUUGAUAAAUCAUGUCUAAAUAUUUUGUGAGUUGUUCAAAACUAUUUUCAGUAUCGAAAAAUUUCAUUGUGAAUAAUUUCAGCUCUCCAAAAACUGUGACGAUG